RNAcentral lists this ribosomal RNA (271 nucleotides) under uncultured bacterium. RNAcentral's name for it is "partial 16S ribosomal RNA". It matches the Rfam family "Bacterial small subunit ribosomal RNA", at positions 88 to 354 of the family's 1533-position model. The record is from RNAcentral.
CCGGCGACCGGCGCACGGGUGAGGUAACACGUAUGCAACCUGGCCGUCACAGGUGGAUAACCGGAAGAAAUUCCGACUAAUACAGCAUAACACUCCUGAGGGACAUCCCUUGGGAGUCAAAGGAGGCAACUCCGGUGACGGAUGGGCAUGCGGCGCAUUAGGUAGUUGGUAGGGUAACGGCCUACCAAGCCGACGAUGCGUAGGGGUUCUGAGAGGAAGGUCCCCCACAUUGGAACUGAGACACGGUCCAAACUCCUACGGGAGGCAGCAG